CUCGGAUAUGGGAAGCCCUGGGGUCACAACACUCAGUCCCCCCCCCAGAUAUGGGAAGCCCUGGGGUCACCACACUCAAUCCCCUCCCCCAGAUAUGGGAAGCCCUGGGGUCACCACACUCAAGGCCCCCCCCC
Molecule: long non-coding RNA, 134 nt
Organism: Gopherus flavomarginatus (Mexican gopher tortoise)
Lineage: Eukaryota; Metazoa; Chordata; Testudines; Testudinidae
Exons: 2
Source: RefSeq, a predicted model, not a curated record